Xenia sp. Carnegie-2017 is the source of this 383-nucleotide long non-coding RNA. RefSeq lists it as uncharacterized. Lineage: Eukaryota; Metazoa; Cnidaria; Anthozoa; Malacalcyonacea; Xeniidae. The transcript has 2 exons. The record is from RefSeq and is a predicted model, not a curated record.
ACCCCAAAGGUUUGUUGUUAACUACUAGAAAAUCAUGCUCCAACAAUAGACCACCUCUUCUAACCAUAACCAGCCAUUUAUUCAAUGGUUUAUCUCGAACAAUUGCCAGUCAUACCCAUUUAACAGACUACCUCUUCUAACCAUGACCAGCCAUUUAUUCAAUGGUUUAUCAAGAUUUUCUUCGACAUUUCCACCAGCUGCUGGUUCAGUUCAUUAAAAGUUACGUUUAUUCAAAACCAUUUGAAAUAUGCAACAAAGGACAAAUACUCUGCAGCAAGGGGCCUGCAUCUCGCAAGAAGCUGCAAGUCUCUCAUCAAUUUUCAUUCAAUUGCUUCAAGUUUUGUCAACGCCACAAACGAAGAAUAAUGUUUCCGAAGCUGAAA